RNAcentral lists this ribosomal RNA (485 nucleotides) under uncultured bacterium. RNAcentral describes it as "partial 16S ribosomal RNA". It matches the Rfam family "Bacterial small subunit ribosomal RNA", at positions 899 to 1397 of the family's 1533-position model. The record is from RNAcentral.
ACUCAAAUGAAUUGACGGGGACCCGCACAAGCGGUGGAACAUGAGGUUUAAUUCGUCAACAAGCGAAGAACCUUACCAAGGCUUGACAUCUAUGGAAUCCCGCGGAAACGUGGGAGUGCCGCAAGGAGCCAUAAGACAGGUGCUGCACGGUCGUCGUCAGCUCGUGCUGUGAAGUGUCCCGUUAAGUCGGUAAACGAGCGCAACCCCUAUCGUAUGUUACUUUUUCAUACGAGACUGCCGGUGUUAAAUCGGAGGAAGGUGGGGAUGACGUCAGAUCAGCGUGGCCCUUACGCCUUGGGCUACACUCGUGUUACAAUGGGGUGAACAAAGGGUUGCAAAGCCGCGAGGUGGAGCUAAUCCCAUCAAAUCACCCCCCAGUUCGGAUUGAAGGCUGAAAUUCGCCUUCAUGAAGUCGGAAUCGCUAGUAAUCGUGGGUCAGCCAUACCACGGUGAAUACGUUCUCGGGUCUUGUACACACCGCCCGU